This 76-nucleotide transfer RNA is filed under the name Bacillota bacterium. RNAcentral describes it as "tRNA-Arg". It matches the Rfam family "tRNA". Rfam says of the family: Transfer RNA (tRNA) molecules are approximately 80 nucleotides in length. Lineage: Bacteria; Bacillati; Bacillota. The record is from RNAcentral.
GCGCCCAUAGCUCAGUGGACAGAGCGACUGGCUACGGACCAGUAGGCCGGGGGUUCAAAUCCUCCUGGGCGCACCA